GACGGAGGGUGCUAGCGUUGUUCGGAAUUACUGGGCGUAAAGGGCGCGUAGGCGGCCUGGUCAGUCGGAUGUGAAAGCCCGGGGCUCAACCCCGGAACGGCAUCCGAGACGGCCAGGCUGGAGACCGGGAGAGGAGAGUGGAAUAGCCAGUGUAGAGGUGAAAUUCGUAGAUAUUGGCUGGAACACCGGUGGCGAAAGCGGCUCUCUGGCCCGGUACUGACGCUGAGGUGCGAAAGCGUGGGGAGCAAACAGG
RNAcentral lists this ribosomal RNA (253 nucleotides) under uncultured bacterium. RNAcentral describes it as "partial 16S ribosomal RNA". It matches the Rfam family "Bacterial small subunit ribosomal RNA", at positions 524 to 776 of the family's 1533-position model. The record is from RNAcentral.